CCUACGGGAGGCAGCAGUGGGGAAUAUUGCGCAAUGGGGGAAACCCUGACGCAGCGACGCCGCGUGGAUGAUGAAGGCCCUUGGGUUGUAAAAUCCUGUUCUGGGGGAAGAAAGCUUAAAGGUCCAAUAAACCCUUAAGCCUGACGGUACCCCAAGAGAAAGCUCCGGCUAAUUAUGUGCCAGCAGCCGCUGUAAUACAUAAGGAGCAGGCGUUAUCCGGAAUUAUUGGGCGUAAAGAGCUCGUAGGCGGUCUUAAAAGUCAGUUGUGAAAUUAUCAGGCUCAACCUGAUAAGGUCAUCUGAAACUUUAAGACUUGAGGUUAGAAGAGGAAAGUGGAAUUCCCGGUGUAGCGGUGAAAUGCGUAGAUAUCGGGAGGGACACCAGUGGCGAAGGCGGCUUUCUGGUCUAUCUCUGACGCUGAGGAGCGAAAGCUAGGGGAGCAAACGGGAUUAGAUACCCCGGUAGUCCGGUCCGCCUACGGGAGGCA
RNAcentral lists this ribosomal RNA (487 nucleotides) under uncultured bacterium. RNAcentral's name for it is "bacterial SSU rRNA". It matches the Rfam family "Bacterial small subunit ribosomal RNA", at positions 338 to 815 of the family's 1533-position model. The record is from RNAcentral.